UACGGAGGGUGCAAGCAUUAAUCGGGUUUAUUGGGCGUAAAGAGCGCGUAGGCGGCUGUAAAAGUCAGAUGUGAAAUUCUAGGGCUCAACUCUAGAGCUGCAUUUGAAACUCUAUGGCUAGAGGAUAGGCGGAGAAAAUGGAAUUCCACGUGUAGCGGUGAAAUGCGUAGAUAUGUGGAAGAACACCGGUGGCGAAGGCGGUUUUCUAGCUUAUUCCUGACGCUGAGGCGCGAAAGCAAGGGGAGCAAACAGG
This 253-nucleotide ribosomal RNA is filed under the name uncultured bacterium. RNAcentral's name for it is "partial 16S ribosomal RNA". It matches the Rfam family "Bacterial small subunit ribosomal RNA", at positions 524 to 776 of the family's 1533-position model. The record is from RNAcentral.